CCUACGGGUGGCAGCAGUGAGGAAUAUUGGUCAAUGGACGAGAGUCUGAACCAGCCAAGUAGCGUGAAGGAUGACUGCCCUAUGGGUUGUAAACUUCUUUUAUAUGGGAAUAAAACAGGGUAUGCAUACCCUCUUGUAUGUACCAUAUGAAUAAGGAUCGGCUAACUCCGUGCCAGCAGCCGCGGUAAUACGGAGGAUCCGAGCGUUAUCCGGAUUUAUUGGGUUUAAAGGGAGCGUAGGUGGAUUGUUAAGUCAGUUGUGAAAGUUUGCGGCUCAACCGUAAAAUUGCAGUUGAAACUGGCAGUCGUGAGUACAGUAGAGGUGGGCGGAAUUCGUGGUGUAGCGGGGAAAUGCUUAGAUAUCACGAAGAACUCCGAUUGCGAAGGCAGCUCACUGGACUGCAACUGACACUGAUGCUCGAAAGCAUGGGUAGCGAACAGGAUUAGAUACCCUGGUAGUC
Molecule: ribosomal RNA, 460 nt
Filed under: uncultured bacterium
Lineage: Bacteria
Description: partial 16S ribosomal RNA
Rfam family: Bacterial small subunit ribosomal RNA
Source: RNAcentral